GACCGCGUAGCUCAGUUGGCAGAGCAUUGGGCUAGCAUUCCAAAGGUCGUAGGUUCGAUUCCCGCCGUGGUCA
This 73-nucleotide transfer RNA is filed under the name Paramuricea clavata. It matches the Rfam family "tRNA". Rfam says of the family: Transfer RNA (tRNA) molecules are approximately 80 nucleotides in length. The record is from Rfam by way of RNAcentral. Lineage: Eukaryota; Metazoa; Cnidaria; Anthozoa; Malacalcyonacea; Plexauridae.